Non-coding RNA from Paramuricea clavata, 378 nucleotides. NCBI's taxonomy places the organism in Eukaryota, Metazoa, Cnidaria, Anthozoa, Malacalcyonacea, Plexauridae. The record is from the annotation of a GenBank genome assembly.
AUUUAAUCACUAAUCUCCCGAAAAGCCAUGCGAUUAGUUUGUAAUAGCAUAGUUUCGCUCCCAUUUAAAAAUGGACAAACAUGCCCUACUUGGAAUCAGCGUAUUUAAGCUAAAACAUUUGCUUCAUUGCUUGUGGGAUGUAAAAGCUUGUUGCACAUGCGCACUUUUUACGCUUUAAUCGGUUACGCAUGCGCAAUCUAUUAUUUAACGUACCACAACAAACACGCUAAAUAUAUUAGUAUAAAUUUGGAGACUGCACGUGCGUAAUUUAAAUGAUGCGGCAACUCAGGGAUCGGAUGAUAGACUAUUGACGGCUCUGAGCUAACUGUUGCUGUUCCUUGCACGAUUAUGUGCGUGAGGCACUUGCCUAAUGCGUAG